This 253-nucleotide ribosomal RNA is filed under the name uncultured bacterium. Its description in RNAcentral is "partial 16S ribosomal RNA". It matches the Rfam family "Bacterial small subunit ribosomal RNA", at positions 524 to 776 of the family's 1533-position model. The record is from RNAcentral.
UACGGGGGGAGCAAGCGUUAUUCGGAAUUAUUGGGCGUAAAGGGCGCGUAGGCGGCUUUGCAAGUGACGGGUGAAAUCCCUCGGCUUAACCGAGGAACUGCCUGUCAAACUGCAUGGCUUGAGACCAGGAGAGGUGAGUGGAAUUCCCAGUGUAGCGGUGAAAUGCGUAGAUAUUGGGAGGAACACCAGUGGCGAAGGCGGCUCACUGGUCCGGUACUGACGCUGAGGUGCGAAAGCGUGGGGAGCAAACAGG